UACGGGGGGGGCAAGCGUUGUUCGGAAUUACUGGGCGUAAAGGGCUCGUAGGUGGCCAACUAAGUCAGACGUGAAAUCCCUCGGCUUAACCGGGGAGCUGCGUCUGAUACUGGAUGGCUUGAGUUUGGGAGAGGGAUGCGGAAUUCCAGGUGUAGCGGUGAAAUGCGUAGAUAUCUGGAGGAACACCGGUGGCGAAGGCGGCAUCCUGGACCAACACUGACACUGAGGAGCGAAAGCCAGGGGAGCAAACGGG
This 253-nucleotide ribosomal RNA is filed under the name uncultured bacterium. Its description in RNAcentral is "partial 16S ribosomal RNA". It matches the Rfam family "Bacterial small subunit ribosomal RNA", at positions 524 to 776 of the family's 1533-position model. The record is from RNAcentral.